Long non-coding RNA from Acinonyx jubatus (cheetah), 10196 nucleotides. RefSeq lists it as uncharacterized. The transcript has 3 exons. The record is from RefSeq and is a predicted model, not a curated record. NCBI's taxonomy places the organism in Eukaryota, Metazoa, Chordata, Mammalia, Carnivora, Felidae.
AGCGGCCCUACGCGUGCGGCGAGUGCGGGAAGGCCUUCGGAGGCGCUCCCCCCUCUUCAAGCACCGGGCGACUUGCGGCGAGGGGCGGCCCUGCGGGUAUCCGCACUGCGGGAGGGUGUUCCGGAGCCGCUUGUCCCUCCCGGAGCACCGGCGCGCCCCGGGCGGCCAGCGUGGCCUAGCCUGUGAGGGGCAGUGUGGCGCGGCGGCCCCCGCGCCAGCCACGGGGGUGGGAAGCCCUCGGAGAAGAGCGACAGGGGAAAGGCGCCGGCCUGUUUGGGUGCGAGGGCCAGAAAGUCCGGGGACACCGCGAAUGCGCGGCCACCGGCAGUACAGCCUGUUCGCCUGGGAGAGGGCCCGCUUUAAAGCCUGGGGCCUCCCGCUCCCCUGCCUUUGAUCGCUGAGGACACGACUGAAGCACAGAGACCUCAGAACAGAUCCAUGUUCUGUGCUGGAACUGCACAGAUGCCCCUACCCCACGCGGGUCAGCGCUGCGCUCCAGCAGGGCCCUGUCGUGGGCACAGCCGCCUCCGGUGAGGGACGAGCGGCCUCUCUCGUGUCGUGGGACCAUCCGCUUCGCUCCAAGACUUCUUGGUGUUUCCAGGUAAAAGCACUAAAAGCACUUUAAUCCUUUCAGAGCUCAUCAACGGGGGGGGGGGGGGGGGGGGGGGGCUGACGGAAUUCUACAACUAGACUGUGGCCAGCCCGUGACAUCACCUCAAAUGCAUCAAGAAACUGUCCGAAAACGGCCUUGGGCGAACACAUUCGUGGACAGCUCACGCUCAGGUGUCAGGCUGCGGGAAGCGAUGUCUCCUCUCUAAGCCCGCAGCUCCAUGGGAGGAAACAGGACACUCUGCCAUCAUGCUGACUGGUGGCCGGCUCUUUUUCCAGGCCCUCUGUCCCCAUGCCAGAGAGGCGCAGCCUUCUCCUUUGAGAAGCAGCCCCCGGGGCCCAUCUUCUCAGAGCCCUGGGGCGGGGCAGGGGAGUCAGGGGACACUCUGGUCCCUCGCAGGAGCAGGCUCCGGGCAAGACCCCGCACGAGCUGGCCUGCUGCUAUCCGUCUCCUCCCACCUGGUGCCCCGGGCUCACCCUACUUACUGCCGUCUGCCUCACACACCCCAGCAGCACAGACCAGCCUGGCCUCUCUGCCCCUCCUCCCCACCCUCAGUGCCUAAAGCUUCACACUUAGCUGCUCUCCCUCAAGUGGCCACCUCUUGUGGCUGGUGCCGAUCAGGAACAAAACAAGACGGGCUACAAAUUUGCACACAGCAUGCCCAGUGAUGGCUCUCUCAUCGGACCUUUCGUAUGAUAUUUCUUACAAUACUGCACGUUCACUUGCUUUCAGCAUUUUUGUAUUCAGGAGUAACGUAAGCUAGAGAUUUCGGCCAUAUAAGGAAGGGUGUUGGUGAAUCGCUCCUGAAAUAAGAAUCCUGCCAACCCUGUGAGACCUCAGGCAGGAGAAAGAGACACCCCAUGGGUGCGAUGGGUGCGGUGGUGAGCCUGGCCCCUCUUAUCCCUCCCUCCUCCCCCUGAGCCCCACGGAAACAGGGCGGCCCCUUCAAAUGGCACUUUCCUGCAGCCUCCUGCUGGCCAGGGGGUGGCGGCUGCUGGCAGGCUCUGCCCUGUUCUGUCCUCACCGUCCCCAGAGCCGGGUUCAGGAGUUCGGCCCCUGGGUGCUCUCAGCCCAGCGUCCUGGUUGGCUUGCCUCCACCUUCCAGCCCCCUCCACUGCCGGGACCUCUGGCGGGCAACUGGUAGGUAUGCUGAGCACCCCCUAUGGGCCUCUGAGGAUCCUGUGCGCCUUCCCUGCCACACAGUGAGAGGCUCAAAGCACCCUCAGGACAGUGUGGGGAAGAUCUGGAAAUACAGGAUUUCUUCUGACCAUGCUUCUUGGAGCUCCAGUCACUAGGACGGCUCCAGGAGCAAGAGAUACAGAUAGAUAGAAACACAUUGACAUAGAAGUUUUAUAUAGCUAUAUUAGAAUGAUUUUUAGACACGACUUACAGAAAGUUCUAGAGUUCUUGCAACUUGCUUUUAUCUCAGAGCCCCUUUCACAGGGUCUGUGUCCCCUUGUCCUUCGAUUGCCUUCUGCUCUUUGUGUCACAUUCAUCUUUGUCGGCACCUCAGAAACAUGAAGUAUUAAGGCCACUGUCUUUGAAGUCCACGGACAGGACGUGUGGAAGCACGUGUUUUUAUGAGGCGCGAUCUUUGCCAGGGCUGGGGUGGAUUCAGGAAGCCAAUCCCAGUGCAGAACAAGAGACAGUGGCAGGAGGCAUUCGGAUGACAACUGCCACGCGGUGGUGGGAACUAGAAAGAGAUCAGAUCCCGGGGCUCUGAUGUCUGUUUCCAUCACCGGAGUAAGUGAGCCGUCUCAACUCUGCAGGCCAGUCAGUAACCGGCUUCACUAAAGAAGAGUCAUAGCCCCCGUGGAAUGUCAUCCCAUGGGUUCUACUGGAUGAGCCACCUUGAUUUUGUGGUUUUCUUUCUAAUGUGCUCUGAAAUUGGGCUCCCACACAACUGGACGCAAAAGCUCACGCUACUGGAGGACAUCCUGCCGGCUUUCCAGUCCCUUCCCCAAGAACUUCCCUGGACGUCGGCCCCAUCGCGCUUCUCGACUGGUGUGCUUCAGGGACGGCCCCGUAAGACACGGUGCCAGCGCACAGUGUGUCUGACGUUGAGACCACUCGCCCUGUGAAACUGUGCAGACUUUCCAAGAGCCGUUUAAAUGCUGUGGCGGUGCCUCCACGUAACUGGUGAAUUGCCUCGACCGCAUUCAUUUACUUCGGGCACGAACGAAUGAGGGUCUAAGAGUGCUGGCCUUAAAGGAGCCCUCUCAUGCUGUAAAGUAACCAGAUGGCAGUUGGGCUAAAGGUCCCAGGAAAAACUCUAAGUGUGGAAUUGUAGGGGAAAGCCAAGACACUACAUUGGCGUUAAGGGAAGGCAGAAACCCUGGAGGGCGAGACACAUGGGCAUCAAGAGCUGCCACCCCCGGCCGGUGGGACACCGUGACUCAGAUCAGGAAGGACAGAGUGGCGCAUCCGUCCCCCGAGAGACCCAGCUGUGUCUUCCUCCCAGUUGCUUCUUCAGGCAACAUGGCGGCACGCACACUCACUCGGGUGGCUGCCCCGUCCAGCCCCGUGCGGGCCUGUAUAGAAGGUGGCUCCACCUUCACACUUCCAUGGUUUGCUUCGUGGCCUCCCGCUGUGGGGGGACUCCAGGGUGGACACCUGUCUGUACUAUAGGCCCUGCAACCUCUCCAUCUCCGUCUUCCCCCAGCCAUGUUUGAGGUCCUCGGCCCUUUCCUCUGUCCUUUAUCUCUGAUGGUCAUUGAGCCACCAGAUCCCGUCCGCCCUCGAUUAUGGUUGCCCCAGCUGCGCCUGCCUGCGUGCGGCCGUGUUUGAGUUGCAAGGGCGGUCCUGCAGUUGUCACCUGACUGACGGCAGCAUCCUUGUCUGGGGCUUUACGUAGGCCCGGGAACAUAGAUCUCCACAAAACGGACCGUGUCUACAACCUUGCUCGGAUUGUAGCUCGCGAGACUAGCUCUGCUUUGCAAAGCUGGCAGGUGCUCCAAACAAAGAGAUAGGGAAGGCUGUGUUCCCUGUGACUGUGUGGCUAUAAUCCCAGACUUGCCCCCAAGGGAGGGAAAAACAGGCCUGGGAAGGGGGCUCUCAGGAUUGUGUUGCCAUUGUCGCCAAACAUCCUUAGCUUCUACGUGUUUGCUUUGCUCUCGCUCCCGAGGUUGGUUCUGCAGGUGUUACGGCAGCAGGGGCGCAGCGGGAUGCCUACAGCACGGCUGAUUCUCCGUAAACGUCUCAGGACGGGCCAGGACCUUCACUCCUUUCCUCAGCCGGAGGAGCACAGCAGGCUUUCAGGGCCAGUCACACUGAAUGACUGAAGACCCAGACACGGGGAGAAAAUGGCCACAUAAGGAUGGAGGUAGAGACUGGAGUGACACGGCCACAACCCAAAGAAUUUCUGGGGCCUCCAGCAGCUGGAAGAGGUGAGGACUGAUCCUCCUCUAGAGCCUCUGGAGGGUAUGCAGUCCUGCUGACCCCUUCCUUUCUGCCGGUCCUGCCUGAGCGCCCUCCCACGUGGCUGCUGCCAAGGUGGGUGCCAUCCUGACCCCAGACCCCGGGACACCAGCCCCACGGCUCUUGCCACUGUGGCCGACUCUGUUCUCGAAACUACAGGGCACCUGGCUGGCCGCCUCAGUUUCCCAACUCUGCCCCCCUUGGGGAUGGCUGCUUGCAGUUCCCUCCGUCACUAACCACCGGUUGUGUGGCGGGCCGUGCACCUCACUUUUCUUCCUGCGAAACUGAGGUUCUUUUACAGACGCAGGUUGUGAUAAAGGGGAAGAGAGCCUGCGUACUUUCAGUCAACGGAUCGACACUGAGGCCACGGUGAGCAAGAGAACAUCCCUGCCCCUGUGGAGCCGGCCUUCUCUCCAGGGACUGGGCUGCUGUGUGCAGGGUGAGGGUGGGCUGGAAUACGGCCGGGAGCAGGGGAGAGACAGUGAGAGGUGGUGGAAAUGGCGGCUCGGGAGAGUGGACAUUGAAGCAGGGACCUGGUUGAGGGGGGUGUCUGGAAAAGCAGUCCGGGCGGAGGGCACAGGCAGUGCAAAGGUCCUGGGGCAGUGCGUUGGCCUCCUGGGGCUGCUGUAACCAAUACCACAAAUCGGGUGGCUUAAAACAAUAUUUAGUCUCUCACAGUCCUCACCUCUUCCACCUGCUGCCGGUCCCCUGCAUUCCUUGGCUUGUGGCUACAUCAUUCUAAUCCUUGCCUCCGAUGUCACCUGGCCUUCUCUGUGUCUGUGUCCCUCCCCUUCUGUCUCUUAUAAGGGCACUUGCCAUUGGAUUUAGGACCUGGGCAGGGUCCAGGGAUUAGGACACGGACGGACCUUGCGCAUGGCCCCAUUCGGCCCGCCACGGAUGGGAACGCACGUGUCGUGUUGUUCCGUGUGGCUGGAGCUCAAGGAGCCGGAAGAAAGGAUGACGGAGGCCGCGCGAAGAGUACGUGCUCAACACGUAAUCACCUUCCGGCCACGCUGCGCUGUCGCCGUUUACAGAUGAAGCUGAGGCCAACCUGUUAGGUGACCCCAGCUGGUCACAGACUUGGGGAACAGGGAGCAGAGGGGCAGGACCCAGCACCCAGGCCCUGCCCCUGCACAGCCCACACCGGGUCCUUUCUCACCGCCAUCCUGGGGCCCAGACCAGAGUAGGCACAUGGCGGGGGGGGGGGGGGGGGGGGGGGUCAAUGCCUCGUUGCUCUUUGUCGGUGAGCAGGCUCUCCAGGUUCUCAACCUCUCAGGCACCGGAGGGCAAGGACGGUGCUCCAUGUACCCCAGUUGUCGGGGUCUGAGAAUAGGUUUCUAGCCGUCAACGUUUUCUGAAGUGGCCGGAAAGUCUGCGCCCAGCCCUGUACCAGCCGGCCUCCUCCUGCCCUCCUGCCGGGUGGGCCACCAGCCCUUCCCUACCGCCAUCACACCCGUCAUCCUGCGCCAGCGGCCCCGCGCUUCCUGCCUUCUCUUCCCGGCCCGUGUGUCAGGCCCAGGGCAGCCAAACAAGCGCUUCCCCAGACUCCUAGUUUGGCCAGGUUGGUGGAGGUGAGAAGAGGCAGGGAGCCAGUAGGGGAGCUUGCUGGGGAGGGGACAACCCACCUAGGCAUUUGAGAGGCCACGCGCCAAGUGUGCGGGCAAGCUGACCCUGGCAUCCGGCAGACAGCGGCCCUCGCGAGCCUCUGAGCAGGGCCGUGUGCUGAAGGGCACUCCGGGCCUGCGGUCUACACCUUGGGGCUGCGCCCGGGGCGCCGCCUCGCUCAGCCUGCGCCGCUGGAAAGGCCAGUCAAAUGCAAAUGUGGCACGAGAUUUCCCCGUCGGGAGACCUUUCUCUUGUCCCUUCCUCAGAGCACCUGGGUGAGAACCCUAAAUAAGCCUCUGGCCAGCCUUUCGGCCCAGGAAGGUUCUUCUUAAGGGCCCCUUUGAAAUGCAAACCCCGAGGAGAGUAGGCCCCUAGCGCUGGCUGCACUGAGAAGGCUGUCAUUGUCCUUAGGAUAAAGGGAAUGCGAGGGCACAGAAGGCCCCCCUGACUACCAGGUGAACUGGCCGCCAGCUAGGACGGCGAUCUUGAGAAGUGUGCAUGGUUUUGUACACUAAUUAUACCCCAAUAAAGCUGGGAUGAAAAAUAAAAUUUCAUUUUAGGGGCGGCUGGGUGGCUCAGUCGGUUACGCAUCCGACUUCGGCUCAGGUCAUGAUCUCACAGUCCGUGAGUUCGAGCCCCGUGUAGGGCUCUGUGCUGACAGCUCGGAGCCUGGAGCCUGCUUCCCAUUCUGUGUGUCCCUCUCGCUCUCUACCCCUCCCCCACUCGUGCUCUGCCUCUCAAAAAUAAUAAACAUUGAAAAAUUAAUGAAAACAAUUUUUUUUCAUUUUAAAUUAAAAGAGACAAGCCCGGGGUGGCAGGUAGGAGACAAAAAAUAACGAGCAGGCUCCGAAAGGAAGCAAGGUAACACAUGAGUAAAAACCUCGCUGAGGACACCAAGGCCCCUCGGCUGCUCCAGCCCAGACCCGGGAAGCAGGCGGUGCCUGGUGAACGUUGCUGGGCUCCCCGGAGAGCGGGAACAUCUCAGAAGCCUCCAAACAAAAGGGAGCGGCCACAGCAGAAGCGGAUAUAGGUGGGCCAGCUCCCCAGGCAACUCUAGAAGCCGGAGGCUGGGGAAGUGGCCUCAGCCAGGUACACUGCAGCCUGCGAGCCCCACUCCCAGCCGAAGGCACCCACCGGGCAGGGGAGCAAAAACUCGGAAACUGUCCUGGAGGCUGUUAUGCCCAGAAUUCGUGAUCCCCAAAGACCGCCAGGGAGCCAAGUCUGAUGCAAAAGCAAAAGAGCCUUUAUUCGAGCUAGCUGGAGCUCAAUCCCCUACCUGCACCGAGGCAGCGGUGAGAUACCGGGGAGAGAGAGCGAGUUUCAAAAGGACAAAGCUUUUAUUGGGGCCUAGGGGCAGUUGGUGAGGUAAUGGCUGUGGCCUCAGCCGAUUGGCUGGGGAAGGCUCGUGGCCUCGGCCGAUUGGCUGGGGAAGGGUCGGAGUCCUGUUACGCAGGUCGCUGGGCGUGUUUUGAUCGGGAAGUUUGAACGGGUGAGCGGGAGGUUACUCAAGGGGAGGAGGCGUGGUCAAGGUGAAGGACACAAAACAAGAUGGAGUCGGCCGGCGUAGGUCUGCCCUUUCAGAGGCCUCGGGAAGCAGUGGCGGGCCAUCGAACUGGGCAGUGCUGUCUCAGUGAGUGACAGAAGGCCCAGGGAACAAAGCGCGGAGAACAGGCAUUGAGCUGCUUCGUUCUCUGGGUCACCUUGGCUAGGCUAGGGUACCCACUUUUUGGACAAACGUGACUGGAAAUGUCACCGUGAAGGGAUUGUUUCGGAUGGAUGGACACCGAAAUCAGUAGACCCCGAGGAAAGCAGAUCAGCCUCCAUGGCUCUUUCCUGCGUCUCCGGCCUCCAAAAUCGUGUGAGCCAUUUUCUUGUACUUAUAUCCCGCUGGUUCCGUUUCUCAGGAGAAUCCUGACAGAUACGGUCCUCGAGCCAUAAGCACAAACACACAACAACUACAUGCAUAGAAACUGCAAGGCGGGCAGGCAGAUGUCAAUAGCAUGCCAUCAUAACAGCAUAUUUUCAUAUAAUGGCCUAGAACGGGAUCGAUGUCAUAGUCCAAAACAAGUCAAAACGGAAAGGAGUCAAAUAGCACAAUUGUCGAACGAGAUUCUGGAGGAAUAUAGAAAAGUGCACAUGGCUUAAGGAGACACACGUUGUCACAGUCUGUGCAACGUGUUUUCAAAGUUAUUUAUACACUAGGCCCCUGUUAUGGGUUGAGUGAUGUCCCCUCCACGAAAACGACAUGUCGGGGUCAUAACCGCCAAUACUUGUGGAGGGGACCUUAUUUGGAGACGGGGUCUGCACAGAGAUGAUCAAGUUACCGUGCGGUCAUUAGCGCGGGCCCCAAUCCUGUAGGACUGGGUCCCCACGAAAAGGGGUAGUUUGGACACAGAGACAUGCAUACGGGGAGAAGGUCACGUGAAGAUCAAGGCCGAGAUCCGGGCGAUGCUUCCACAGGCCGAGCAGCGCCGCAGAUGGCCGGGAAGAGCCAGAAACCGGAGGAGAGGCCCGGAGUGGACUCUCCCUUGGAGUCGCCGGAAGGAGCCAACCCGGCCCACGCCCGGACCUCAGACUCCUCGUGAGCCAAGGAGUUUCUCUUGUGUGAGCCACUCACUGUGUGGUGCUGUUACAGCUGCCCUACGAAACUCACACAGCCCCCCAACAACCUUAAGCAACACAUCCUCAGACCACUAUCCAAUACAAUUAGAAAUACAUAGUAAGAGAUGGUCACAAAGUCUUGACAACUCAGAAAUUAAGCUAAAUUCUACUCUGCAAGCAUCAGCUCAGGGAAAAAAUGAAAGCAAAAGGAGAAACAUUUGUAACACAAAGCAAAGAGGAACGUUUCAUAGCAAACCACAGAGACACAGAAGAUCUCACUGGCAGAAAAGUUAGUCUUUGGCCUUAGCUAUUCAAGAUAGAAGAUGAAAAAGAUAUGCAUCUUCCCCUUAAGAAAUUAGAAAAAAACAGAAGAAAAAGUCAACCCAAAGAAAAUAGACAGAUGGAUUUAAUAAAGAUAGAAGUUGAAGCUAAUGAAGCAGAAAACCAGAGGGAGAGAGAGAGGGAGAGACAGAGAGGAUGCUCAAAAUCCUGGGGUUUUUUUCUUUGAAAAGCCCAGCAAAUGAGAAAGAGAUUGCUGCAAACACUGAAGAAACAGGAAGAAUUAUGGCAUCGCGCCUGAACGCCUGGCAGAAACUGACUUUAUAGACCCUGAAACAACGAAGACGUGCUUGUGAUAUUUGUAAGCAGAAUCUAAUGAGAUCCACUCAUGUAGAAUCAUAAGCACGCAUGUGUGAAUGGGGCGCAUCUAAGUAUGUGGGGGGGGGCAUCUUGAGGGGUGUGUUUGCACACCCGUGUGAGUCGGUGUGUGGGUGUGAAUGGGGAGGAACGUGUGGUGGCAGGGUGCAUGCGCAGGACCUGAGGUGCAGAGAGCAGGGUCCCCACGAUGCAACACUGCUCUCAGGGACAGGGAUCCGCAAUAUGAAUUUCUUUUCCACACACUCGUGUGCCCCGUAUGAAUCCCAUACAAGGCCAAGCGUCGUUUAGAGAAAACACAAACAGCGGGUAGCUUCCCUGAAGAAACGAUGGCAGGAGGGCCGGCCGUGUCCUGUCUCCAGCUUUCUGCUCGAGGCUCGAGGUUCGGCUCAUGGUGGCCCACUUCACACUUUGCCCUCAUCACCUUGUUUCCUGCACCAAGACAACCUGAAAAUGCUCCUGGCCUUGUUGUUUGGGUUCUCAUCCCUCUGCAUGGAUAAUUCCGUUUUCAAUUGGCUUGCGUCGUUUCCCCCAGGAAUGCUGCUGGUCACAGAUACAUCCCUAUUGGCAGACACUGAUGUGGCUUUGAAGCCAGUGACACAUCUUGACAACAGGCAGGUGGCUGGCCAGAGUGAGCUGGAGUAGUGGUGUUGUUUCUCUGGGUCUGUCCCGUUUCAAGCCGCGUAAUUACUGUGAGUGCCCACCCCCCACAACCUGCUGUGUCUCAAACGCUCGCUGUCACUGUUCAGCGGGGUGCCGUGGUAUGGAUGUGCUGCUGAGGGACACUUGGGUUCUUUCCAGUCUGGGACUGCUGUGAAUAAAGCCGCCAUAAACCGUCAUGUGCAAGUCUCUGUGUGGACACAUAAGGUCAUCUCUGUCGGGUAAGUAAAUACCUAGGAAUGGAAUCACUGGGGCAUUAUGGGAGGUGCACGUCUCACAUUUUAAGACACGGCCAAACUGUUUUCCAAAGUGCUUGUAUCAUCUUACAUUGCCCCCAGUUCUGCCACAUCCUCGCCAGCACUUGGGAUGGGCAGUUUUAUAUUUUAGCCAUUCUAAUAAACGCUAAACGUUCGGGAAUUUGGGGAGCUGAUUGGGAAACACCACCAUUAUUAGAGAUGAAAUUAUGUGAACUCCCACUCACAUUAUAUUAAAAACAAAGGAGAACCUAAAACCCCAUCACGUCUUAUUUCGCUGCACUCUACUGUUAUGGAUGCAUUGACAUCCACUUGGUAGGGACAUACAUUAACAGUACGUUAAGGUGAAUCUCUUCCCAGCCCCACAUUUGAUGGCGUCAUGUGGGUAACCUAGA